This 253-nucleotide ribosomal RNA is filed under the name uncultured bacterium. RNAcentral's name for it is "partial 16S ribosomal RNA". It matches the Rfam family "Bacterial small subunit ribosomal RNA", at positions 524 to 776 of the family's 1533-position model. The record is from RNAcentral.
UACAGAGGUCCCAAGCGUUGUUCGGAUUCAUUGGGCGUAAAGGGUGCGUAGGCGGCGCGGUAAGUCGGGUGUGAAAUCUUGGAGCUUAACUCCGAAACUGCAUUCGAUACUGCCGUGCUUGAGGACUGGAGAGGAGACUGGAAUUUACGGUGUAGCGGUGAAAUGCGUAGAUAUCGUAAGGAAGACCAGUGGCGAAGGCGGGUCUCUGGACAGUUCCUGACGCUGAGGGACGAAGGCCAGGGGAGCAAACGGG